UCCCCCUAAUGCUACAAGAUCUCAUGAUUUACCCCCCUCCCCCCAGUAUGGAAUACCAUGGCCUGAGCUGCUGCCAUUGGGCUUCUCCUUGUUGCUUCUUCCUCCAUCUCCCCACCAUCUUUCCACCAUUACAGUUUGGCUAUAUUACCUUACUCUGGAUUCAUUGACUCUUGCGUCAAACCCCCAUCAGUCAGACUGACACAAUGGUGCCAAAAUCAAGGAACUGGUCAGGUGCAAUUCAGCCACCCACCUACAGUCAUUUCCUGUGAGGAGGUCUUCACCUUGGAACUUGACCAUGGAGGAGCUUGGGCUUGAGAUCUCACACUGCUUCCCCUUGGACUGCCACAUGUCUUUCUCCAGUGAAAUCCAGCUCAGCCCAGGCAGGGGCUUCCCCAAGAUUCUGUCUCUAUGUGAAUUUCCCAGUAAUCCUCAGCCAGAAGUUGUGUCCUCAGCCUGGUGGUGUCUUCAGCCAGUGUUCCACCAACAUAGCCUCCUCCAAAUCCAAGGUAGGAAUCUCAGCCACUCACCCAGCAAGCUGAUGCAGGAUUCAGGGGGAAAGUUUCCUUCAAUGCCAGGAAAGGAAUCUCUGGAACCAACCUUUCCAAACAUCAGGAAGGGAAUGAAUGAUAGACCAUGCUGGUCUCUUCUUUUAUGCUUCUUUUUCCACAUCAGUUCUUGUCACUUCCUGUCACUCCCCUGUCUUCACAAAAACCAAUGGCAGUCUUUCAAUUUGCCUAGCACUGUCCAAGGGAAAGGGCACUGGCUUUUGGAGGUAUGAGCUUACUUUCUUAUUUAAUGAUAAGUAGGGGUAUUUUAAGUUCUUUAUUUGAUUAGCUAAAAAUAGAUAAGGGGAGAGUUAAUCCUAUCUUCACAGUACCCAGAAGACUUAUAAUUGAAGCAUAUUUCCUAAAUUCUGACAUUUUCACAGGUCCCCUGUGUGUAUCCAUUAUGCUUCACUAUGUUUAUAUGUUACAAAGGGAUUUUAUUAUUUUCAUUUUCUUUUUCUCACUUCCAUUUUGUAAAAAUUAAAUUAUAUCUCUAAUAAUAAAAAUAUUAUAUUUCAUGAGGUUUAUUAAGGA
Molecule: long non-coding RNA, 1079 nt
Filed under: Monodelphis domestica (gray short-tailed opossum)
Lineage: Eukaryota; Metazoa; Chordata; Mammalia; Didelphimorphia; Didelphidae
Description: lncRNA (ENSMODG00000046187.1)
Source: RNAcentral